This 440-nucleotide ribosomal RNA is filed under the name uncultured bacterium. Its description in RNAcentral is "bacterial SSU rRNA". It matches the Rfam family "Bacterial small subunit ribosomal RNA", at positions 338 to 795 of the family's 1533-position model. The record is from RNAcentral.
CCUACGGGUUGCACCAGUGGGGAAUAUUGGACAAUGGGCGAAAGCCUGAUCCAGCAAUGCCGCGUGUGUGAAGAAGGUCUUCGGAUUGUAAAGCACUUUCGACGGGGACGAUGACGACGGUACCCGUAGAAGAAGCCCCGGCUAACUUCGUGCCAGCAGCCGCGGUAAUACGAAGGGGGCUAGCGUUGCUCGGAAUGACUGGGCGUAAAGGGCGCGUAGGCGGUUUAUGCAGUCAGAUGUGAAAUCCCCGGGCUUAACCUGGGAACUGCAUUUGAGACGCAUAGACUAGAGGUCGAGAGAGGGUUGUGGAAUUCCCAGUGUAGAGGUGAAAUUCGUAGAUAUUGGGAAGAACACCGGUGGCGAAGGCGGCAACCUGGCUCGAUACUGACGCUGAGGCGCGAAAGCGUGGGGAGCAAACAGGAUUAGAUACCCGGGUAGUC